Molecule: long non-coding RNA, 559 nt
Filed under: Mus musculus (house mouse)
Lineage: Eukaryota; Metazoa; Chordata; Mammalia; Rodentia; Muridae
Description: long non-coding RNA chr11:97024177-97024736
Source: RNAcentral
GGACAGGGUGACUCCCUGUGGGACUUAGGGGCCUGAGAUAGUUUAAGUUCUUUCUGUGUUCUCCCUCUUUCCCCACCUCCUGUGAACCUAGCCAGAGGUUCCCUUUCUUACAAAGAAGGCUGCAGGCAAGAGCGAAGUUGGCCAUGCCUGCAGGUUGCCUAGCUAGGUGCAGAGGGGCCUAAAGGAGGGCACCGUGGGUGUGGGAUGCCUUCUUCUCCACCCAUCAAAACCAGCCACCUCUCACUGCGCUACCAAGACAACCUUUUUUCAGUGACCAUGCUUAGGGGGAACUCCUACAUGGAGUAUUAGGGGGCACGGAGAUGCUCCCCCUUAUAGAGGCCUUGAACCCUAAGAUCUGCAGGUGGGGCUCGGAUAGGUUUUUGUCUGGCCUGCUCUUUAUCAAAUCUAGGUUUCUCAGCUGCCUGUCCUUCCAGGCAGCCCCUCUAGAGGAAAAUGUAGGAUUUUUUUUUUUCUUUAACUGCUGUGAACCCACUUGGGGGCGAGGAGGAGGCAGAAACAGCCUGUGUUUUUUAUGCAACAAUAAAGUCAUCAACCAACC